This 403-nucleotide ribosomal RNA is filed under the name Verrucomicrobiota bacterium. Its description in RNAcentral is "Verrucomicrobia bacterium partial 16S ribosomal RNA". It matches the Rfam family "Bacterial small subunit ribosomal RNA", at positions 355 to 776 of the family's 1533-position model. Lineage: Bacteria; Pseudomonadati; Verrucomicrobiota. The record is from RNAcentral.
UGGGGAAUAUUGCACAAUGGGCGCAAGCCUGAUGCAGCAACGCCGCGUGAACGAUGAAGGUCUUCGGAUCGUAAAGUUCUGUUGCAGGGGAAGAUAAUGACGGUACCCUGUGAGGAAGCCCCGGCUAACUACGUGCCAGCAGCCGCGGUAAUACGUAGGGGGCUAGCGUUAUCCGGAUUUACUGGGCGUAAAGGGUGCGUAGGUGGUCUUUCAAGUCGGUGGUUAAAGGCUACGGCUCAACCGUAGUUAGCCUCCGAAACUGGAAGACUUGAGUGCAGGAGAGGAAAGUGGAAUUCCCAGUGUAGCGGUGAAAUGCGUAGAUAUUGGGAAGAACACCAGUAGCGAAGGCGGCUUUCUGGACUGCAACUGACACUGAGGCACGAAAGCGUGGGUAGCAAACAGG